RNAcentral lists this ribosomal RNA (253 nucleotides) under uncultured bacterium. Its description in RNAcentral is "partial 16S ribosomal RNA". It matches the Rfam family "Bacterial small subunit ribosomal RNA", at positions 524 to 776 of the family's 1533-position model. The record is from RNAcentral.
UACGUAGGGUGCGAGCGUUGUCCGGAAUUACUGGGCGUAAAGAGCUCGUAGGUGGUUUGUCGCGUUGUCCGUGAAAACUCACAGCUCAACUGUGGGCGUGCGGGCGAUACGGGCAGACUGGAGUACUGCAGGGGAGACUGGAAUUCCAGGUGUAGCGGUGAAAUGCGUAGAUAUCUGGAGGAACACCGGUGGCGAAGGCGGCGUCCUGGACCAACACUGACACUGAGGAGCGAAAGCCAGGGGAGCAAACGGG